This 125-nucleotide small nucleolar RNA is filed under the name Sinocyclocheilus grahami. RNAcentral describes it as "Small nucleolar RNA SNORD22 (ENSSGRG00000048987.1)". It matches the Rfam family "Small nucleolar RNA SNORD22". Rfam says of the family: U22 is a member of the C/D class of snoRNA which contain the C (UGAUGA) and D (CUGA) box motifs. Lineage: Eukaryota; Metazoa; Chordata; Actinopteri; Cypriniformes; Cyprinidae. The record is from Rfam by way of RNAcentral.
CUUUUAUGAUGUAACUUGCACAUGUCUUAUGCCCUGUCAAUACCAGAACCUGAAAAGGUGAACCCACUGGUGUUGCCUGGGUAACAAGGGGAUGACUUGUUGGGCUUACCAACAGUCUGAGAAGG